UACGUAGGUGGCAAGCGUUGUCCGGAUUUACUGGGUGUAAAGGGCGUGUAGCCGGGCUGACAAGUCAGAUGUGAAAUCCGGGGGCUCAACCCCCGAACUGCAUCUGAAACUGUUGGUCUUGAGUAUCGGAGAGGCAGGCGGAAUUCCUGGUGUAGCGGUGAAAUGCGUAGAUAUCAGGAGGAACACCGGCGGCGAAGGCGGCCUGCUGGACCGUAACUGACGUUGAGGCUCGAAAGCGUGGGGAGCAAACAGG
RNAcentral lists this ribosomal RNA (253 nucleotides) under uncultured bacterium. Its description in RNAcentral is "partial 16S ribosomal RNA". It matches the Rfam family "Bacterial small subunit ribosomal RNA", at positions 524 to 776 of the family's 1533-position model. The record is from RNAcentral.